This is a long non-coding RNA of Vespa mandarinia (Asian giant hornet), 1315 nucleotides long. The record is from RefSeq and is a predicted model, not a curated record. NCBI's taxonomy places the organism in Eukaryota, Metazoa, Arthropoda, Insecta, Hymenoptera, Vespidae.
AUUUAAUUCCUAAUAUCAUUUUCAGAAAUAAUUAUUAGAAGGAUUGGUAACAUUCUUCGAGUUAUCGUUUGGAUCUUCGCUCAACGCUCUUAGAAUAAUCUUGGAGUCGUUCAACGCUCUUAAAAUACACACUUUGAAUAUAAGGUUAAAUUGCGUUAGGGGAUCGUGAAAACGCAUUGGUAACAUUCUCGGGACGUAAGACAAUGGCUGAUAGGUGCGAAUGAACGGUAAUAGAGCUCAUGGCUGUCGAAGCAAAAGGAUAAUAGGCGUCGCAGUUAAAUCAUUAUGCACUGUGCAUGAUAUUUUUUCGACCCCCAUCUCAAUGAUAAAUUCAAGGCUCGCAUACUAGGUCAAAAUUUACGGUUGCUCAUCUAAGAAAAUCUUUUAAUUAUUCUUAUCGGAUAUGAAGACACUUACGAUUAAUUACCAAUUGAUUCCUCUUUUUUGCGAAAAGGUAUGUAAUAAAAAAAAAAAAUAAAUAAAAAAAAGAGAAUAUGCGUUAGAAUCUUACGUAAGAAAAUAACAUCGUUAAUACACCUCUCUUCUCGUCACGUAGACGAUCGAGACAAAUAGAGAGCGAAGAAAACAAUAAAAAAAGGAGUCAAGGUUUAUCGAUAAAGACUUUUCUGUUGUUAGUGACUUGUUCUAUGCGAAAAUAUUUUAAAUUACCAAUAAACAACAAAAUAUUUUUUUUUUUCAACUAUGAUAUCGCGUAUGAUAAUGUUAACGUCACGUCGUAGUGAUAAUGUUUAUUUACCAAAAAUAGUUAUUAAAAAUGUCUACGCGAAUUCUACGAAUAUAAUUCUAUGAUAUUGUAUAAUUCGUAUGAAUGUUAUUGCCUACAAUUAUCAGCUUAUGUAGAAUACUUACAACGGUACGAACGUGACUCAUUAAAGUGAUAAAAGAAAAAAGAAAAAAAGAAAAAGAUAAAAUAAAAAUAUAUAAACGGUCGAGAGAUUCCCAAAGCGGACAGAGAGAACGUGCCGAAGAUCGAGCGUAAGGGCUCUCGAGCGGGGGACCAUCUUUAAGUUCAACACGAUUUCACCAUUAGUAACCUUUCUAGCGUUUCCACGUGAUUGCCUGGCAUAGUACUCGACUAGCCUUGACAUAGAAGCAAGAAAAGAAAGGUCAGUCGGUGGAAUAAUCGAUGUAAAGCCGAGCGAUGAGAAGGAAGUAUACGGGAACUGGAUCUUGCAUAGAACGAAAGUUAAACUUUCACCAAGAAAACCGAUCAUCGUUAACGUUAUAAUAUAUCUGCAUAAAUAUAUUUGUAAUCCUUGAAAAUUGCAAAUAAAUAAUACUCUGUUUGAUUCGU